RNAcentral lists this long non-coding RNA (258 nucleotides) under Mytilus galloprovincialis (Mediterranean mussel). Lineage: Eukaryota; Metazoa; Mollusca; Bivalvia; Mytilida; Mytilidae. The record is from RNAcentral.
GUUUGGCUUUGAAACUAUUUUGAUAUGAGCGUCUGUGAUGAAUCUUAUGUAGACGAAACGCGCGUAUGGCGUACUAAAUUAUAAUUCUGGUACUUUUGAUAGCUAUAUAAAACUAUCAAUGAAUGUUAGAAAUUCUUAUCAGGUUACAGCUGUGUAUGAUGAAGUCCUCAUUCCACAGAUGGGAAAUGAGAGUCCAUAAUACAAACCUCUCAAACCAACAUACAACUAAACCAUUUUUCUUGUUUCGAAAUCAAAUUC